Astatotilapia calliptera (eastern happy) is the source of this 676-nucleotide long non-coding RNA. Lineage: Eukaryota; Metazoa; Chordata; Actinopteri; Cichliformes; Cichlidae. The record is from Ensembl.
CAAAACAAUUACACAUUAUUGAGGCAGCCUGUAGGCCUUUGAGUUUAGUUUUAAAAACAUUUAAAGACAACAGUUCAGUCAGUUUCCAGUCUUUCUGUAACAGGUUCCACGAAAAAGGCGCAGAGUGGACAAAGGCUUUCUUACCCAGCUCUGUGUGGACAAGGGGAACAGACAACAGCAGCUGAUCAUUUGAACGUGAAGGAGUCAUCAAUCCAGACACCAAGUUACCUGCAGCCCAGCAGAAGAGCGGAGCUCCAGGAUCCACAUGUGACUCCACCUAUGAGACCAUGACUCCAGCCCCCACAGACCAGGACCACAUCUACUCCACCCUCACCGACACACAGCACACACUUUGCUAAUGCUCAGCAAACCACAGGAUGAUAUUUGAUAGUCUGUACAUAAUAAAAGAAACAGAUCUGUCUGCAUCAGCGAGCUUUGGUUGAAACAGCUGACACAGCUCCAGUGUUUGUGUCCUGUCUCAAGAAAACAAACGUUUUGGUCCCUGAUUAACCGAGCUGCAUUCAGUCCUUUCUGAGGACUACAUUCCUCCGUACGUGUUGAUAAUCUGGAAUUUCAGCAACUGAGAGAAACAUCCUGCCAAUCCUGGCACUUAACAGCGUACACUAUGUUACUCUGUUUGUGUCGGGGGACCCGAUCCUUGCUUAAAGUGUGAUGC